Molecule: long non-coding RNA, 704 nt
Organism: Pseudopipra pipra
Lineage: Eukaryota; Metazoa; Chordata; Aves; Passeriformes; Pipridae
Exons: 3
Source: RefSeq, a predicted model, not a curated record
UCAUGUCAGCCUCCACCACGAGGACAGGGGAGCGGUUCCAUAGGCAGGAACUGCAUGGACCAGAAAAUUGGCCAGCUGUUUGUGCGUCCAAAGGCAAGUUAAGUGGCUACCUUCUCCUGGAACUUCAAAUUACCUGAUCGGGUUUAAUACUUCUAAGUUCACCUGAGGAAGUCUUAAUCAUGAUCACACUACACAGACUGCAGACUACUAUAAAAAAUAGAUGAUGGGCUCGUGGGAUAUGAAGAAGGAAGGCUGAUGAAGACAUCCGGCAAGUAUCUGCCUACCUUCCUGUUGCUUGAAACAACAUUUGACUCAAGAUUGGAUAAAGUUUAUUUAAAGCAGCAACUUAUUUGAUUCAAAUGGAUUUGAGAGUCAAUGCAAACAUUCAACAGAGUUCUAAUUACCAGUCUCCUGCCUACAUUAUCCUAGCAUCUGAAUCAAAAUAAAUCUGAUGGACUAUAAUAAAAUACUUGGCAGAAUUUUUGUGUUACAACAAUGUCCUCUUCGGUUCCACUGAGAUUCCUUAAGUGCAAACUGAUAUUGUUCCAUGGGAUACUUCCAGCAGGCAAGAUUUGUAUUUCUCAUGAUAAAAAAAAAAAAAGGCAAGACAGAGGAAGGGAGAAAGGCCAAUACUGAAUAGUUCAGUUUCAUCCAGAUUAAAGUGAAAUUAAAUGGUAUCUUUGUUGUUAUUUCAGUAUGUUACA